RNAcentral lists this long non-coding RNA (1040 nucleotides) under Coffea arabica (coffee). Its description in RNAcentral is "long non-coding RNA (CARA_LNC000968)". The record is from RNAcentral. Lineage: Eukaryota; Viridiplantae; Streptophyta; Magnoliopsida; Gentianales; Rubiaceae.
CGAAAGUUAUAUUCGGCGAAUUGCCUUUCCAUCACUUUGCCUGAGAAUUUUGGAAAUCUUGCAAACUGAAAUAAACAAGCAAUGGCCCAAGCUAUGGCUUCAAUGGCAGGAUUACGUGGAUCCUCUCAAGCUGUGCUGGAUGGCAGCCUCCAGCUCAGCGGUUCUGGCCGGUUGAGCACAUCCAGCACCACCAGAGUUGCCUUGGCUAGACCAGGAUUCAGCGUUAGAGCCCAGCAAGGGUCGGGCGAGACCGAAACAAGCCGCCGAGCCAUGUUGGGGCUUGUUGCAGCUGGGAUUGCCUCAGGAUCUUUUGUUCAGGCAGCGCUUGCUGAAGCCAGGGCAAUCAAGGUUGGAGGACCACCACCGCCCUCUGGCGGAUUGCGUAAGCUCUUCUCCAUUCCCUUCUUCUACGACUUUCCUUGUAAGAACAUGGCCAUGUCGUUUUCACAUGAGCUCUUGCUGAUUUAUCCUAAAAUUAGGCGAAAAUUGGAUCACAAUGUUGGAUAGCUAAGAAUUUCCCCACUUCCAUUGCUGUCAGCUACUUCACAUAACCUAUCGAAAUUUUACCUCAAGAUAUCUCUUUCAAUCUAUGAAAUGAAUUUGGUUUUUGUUGAUUAAAAAUCAUCUGAGACAUAGAGCUACAAGGUUUGACCGUAGAGUCAGAUUCUUUGGAUAGAUAAUGUUAGAUUGCUAGUCGGCAAUUGAGAUUUUACUAAUCAUUAUGUCAAAAUUUGUGCAUUUGGCAGCCGGAACUUUGAACUCAGACAUUCCGAGAGACCUUGAUUUGCCACUCAAGGACCGUUUCUUCAUUCAGGCGCUGCCACCGGCUGGGGCAGCAGCGAGGGCGAAGGAUAGUGCCAAGGAUAUUAUUAAUGUAAAGGGAUUGAUAGACAAGAAGGCUUGGCCUUAUGUACAAAAUGACCUUCGUCUAAAGGCCGAAUUACUUCGCUAUGAUCUCAACACUGUCAUCUCAGCAAAACCCAAAGAUGAGAAGAAACAGCUGAAAGAUCUCACCGGGAAGCUGUUCCAGACCAUCAGUG